This 412-nucleotide ribosomal RNA is filed under the name uncultured Streptococcus sp. RNAcentral describes it as "bacterial SSU rRNA". It matches the Rfam family "Bacterial small subunit ribosomal RNA", at positions 967 to 1382 of the family's 1533-position model. The record is from RNAcentral. Lineage: Bacteria; Bacillati; Bacillota; Bacilli; Lactobacillales; Streptococcaceae.
AACCUUACCAGGUCUUGACAUCCCGAUGCUAUUUCUAGAGAUAGAAAGUUACUUCGGUACAUCGGUGACAGGUGGUGCAUGGUUGUCGUCAGGCUCGUGUCGUGAGAUGUUGGGUUAAGUCCCGCAACGAGCGCAACCCCUAUUGUUAGUUGCCAUCAUUCAGUUGGGCACUCUAGCGAGACUGCCGGUAAUAACCGGAGGAAGUGGGAUGACGUCAAAUCAUCAUGCCCCUUAUGACCUGGGCUACACACGUGCUACAAUGGUUGGUACAACGAGUUGCGAGUCGGUGACGGCGAGCUAAUCUCUUAAAGCCAAUCUCAGUUCGGAUUGUAGGCUGCAACUCGCCUACAUGAAGUCGGAAUCGCUAGUAAUCGCGGAUCAGCACGCCGCGGUGAAUACGUUCCCGGGCCUU